Molecule: ribosomal RNA, 540 nt
Filed under: uncultured miscellaneous Crenarchaeota group
Lineage: Archaea; Thermoproteati; Candidatus Bathyarchaeota
Description: bacterial SSU rRNA
Rfam family: Archaeal small subunit ribosomal RNA
Source: RNAcentral
GCGCGAAAACUUCGCAAUGCGCGAAAGCGUGACGAGGUUAGCCCGAGUGCCGUCCGCUGAGGAUGGCUUUUCUUUGGUGUAAGGAACCAGGGGAAUAAGAGGAGGGUAAGUCUGGUGUCAGCCGCCGCGGUAAUACCAGCUUCUCGAGUGGUGGGGGCGAUUAUUGGGCCUAAAGCGUCCGUAGCCUGCUUUGUAAGUCCUCCGUUAAAUCCGACGAUUCAAUCGUUGGGCUGCGGAGGAUACUGUAGAGCUAGGGGGCGGAAGAGGCAGGCGGUAUUCUUAGGGUAGGGGUGAAAUCCUAUAAUCCUAGGAGGACCACCAGUGGCGAAGGCGGCCUGCUAGAACGCGCCCGACGGUGAGGGACGAAAGCUGGGGGAGCAAACCGGAUUAGAUACCCGGGUAGUCCCAGCUGUAAACGAUGCAGACUAGGUGUUGGAGUGGCUACGUGCCGCUUCAGUGCCGCAGAGAAGUCAUUAAGUCUGCCGCCUGGGGAUACGGUCGCAAGGCUGAAACUUAAAGGAAUUGGCGGGGGAGCAACCG